Helianthus annuus (common sunflower) is the source of this 2106-nucleotide long non-coding RNA. RefSeq lists it as uncharacterized. The transcript has 9 exons. Lineage: Eukaryota; Viridiplantae; Streptophyta; Magnoliopsida; Asterales; Asteraceae. The record is from RefSeq and is a predicted model, not a curated record.
GGGAUGGGCAAGGGGCUCAUUAAAUGCUUUGCAGGUUAUUUCUCUCACCAAAUUUUGCUUUUCAGUUUUUGAAAUGCUCGAUCAUCCCCAAUUCCUCAUUGAAGAGAAGAGAGAAAGAGAGAGAGAGAGAGACUAGAGAUUUUGAACUGCCCACUCAUCCCCAAUUCCUCGGUUCCUCACGAACCCUAACAAAAAAAUCCAUUGUUUCUCACAAUCGACGCUGCCAAGUUCCAAGGUUGUUGUAGGCGAUAGGGUUUUCUUAGCAGUCAGCGACGACGGUGGUUCCAAGGUUGUUGUUGUCAUCGGUGGUCAUUAAAGGUCAGAUCCGUCUUCCGACGGCUAGGGUUCCGUCAUGAAUCACUGGUAGUAACAAACGUUGACAAUUGACAUAGUCCAGUCCAUACUAAUUUCAAGCUCUGUGUUUCCGGUUGAAGUAUCAAACAUUGAGAGAGGCAUGGUAUAUGAAGAUUUGUAAAAUGUGUUUGAACUGUUAAGCCUCCAGUUCUGGUGAAAUAAAGAUUAUGGUCAACGUAAUGUUGCUAGCAUUCAAUAGCUAACUCUACAUCCCAGAUUGCAAAUGGACCUAAAGUUCUGAGUACUUGUGUGUUGGCGAACGUUACACCCAAAAACAAUUGCACUUGAAGAGGAAAGAUAGCGGCAUGUUCAAGGAUAAACAAUACAGUAGUGGUGGCUCGGUACAUUCAUUACAGAUUGUUGGUUCGAAUGGAGCUCAACGCAUAUCAAAGGUUUGCUUCUGAAGUACAAAGAAGCACAUGGGACUCGAGGGUUGCACCUCAUAGCAGUCCGAGUGACAUGUCAAAUGGGAAGGAAGCGACUUAUAAGCUUUGCUAACAAUUCUAACAAAGACUGGACAGAGGUGACUCACAAAGUAUAUUAUGAUGUUGAGAUUGCUGGAAAACUUUCUAGUAUGCCAUAGUUUCCUUUCUAAUAUUAACUUAUGGGUCAUGCUUGGUAGCUUAAUAGUGAUCAUUUAUUCUUAAGGCACACACGUAUACAGCCUAUGAAAAUAUUUCUUACAAAUCAAUAACAAUAAAAAAAAUUAUAUGUUAUAUAUGGCGGGCUCCCACCAAUAACCUGGGUCUUGUAUGGCCUAUGGAGAGAAGCACCCAUAUCCCCCCUACAAAGCAAAGAAAAAUUAUAAAAAAUCAUUAUGAAUGAGUGGUAAUCUUGCGAUGGUUGCUUUGAGAAACGCUUAUCAUGGUGGAAGUGCUGGUACUAUUGGAGUCGCAGCGAGCGCAGCCGCAAGAUAAUAAUAACAAAUAACAUCAUCCUGUUCGGUUUUGCGUAGAAGAACUUGACAACAUUAAAACAUCACCCAUUCAGAGAUGAACGCCUGAAAACGAGCGCAGCCGCAACGAUGGUUUUCAACCGUUCAUCUCGGAAUGGGUGUUGUUUUAAUGUUGUUUGAUUCUUCGACACAGAACUGGACAGGAUAAUGUUAUCGUCCCAAUGAUUGAUUUCGAUAUCUCGAAGAACCGGCCAGAUCCUAUAACAUACGGCGCUCAAGAGGACUGGUUGUCUAACUCGAAAGACAAUUCUUGAAUGGUCACCGUUCGCUUCAAUAGUUAACCUGAUCCAACAGUUUGAAGACAUCGGUUCACACGUGACAAAGAUAAUCAUAUACAACUUAUGGCUCAAUGACGAAGGCCUUCUUCAUUCGUUAAGGGCAUACACUUCUAAGUUGUACCUUAGAAAGUUCAACAACUUCAAAAUCAUCUAGAGGGGGAAGCCCGUAGAGCAGUAUACUAUAGCAGAUGACUUAAGAAACCCGCAAGUAACCCUCUCCAGACAACACAUUUCAUCUUUGUAGGGGUGAGAUAGGUGCUUCUCUCCAAGGGCAUACAAGCUUGGCGGCCGCCCGCCGUAUUUAACGUAUAAAAAACAUUAUAUGUUAAAUAUUGCGGGCUGCCGCCAAUAACUUGUGUCUUGUAUGCCCUAUGGAGAGAAGCACCCAUCUUCUUCCUACAAAGCAAAGAAAAAUUAUAAAAAAGCAUUACCGUGAGAUUAACAAAGAAACAAAUCGUUGUAAUUAUUGUUACAAAUUUAUAAUGUUUAUUUUUUAUCGAUUAAUGUUUAUUGUUGUAA